GACGUAGGGGGCCAGCGUUGCUCGGAAUUACUGGGUGUAAAGGGUUCGUAGGCGGUGUGGCAAGUCGGGAGUGAAAUCUCUGGGCUCAACCCAGAGUCUGCUUCCGAAACUGCUGUGCUUGAGUGUGGGAGAGGUGAGUGGAAUUCCUGGUGUAGCGGUGAAAUGCGUAGAUAUCAGGAGGAACACCUGUGGCGAAAGCGGCUCACUGGACCACAACUGACGCUGAGGCGCGAAAGCUAGGGGAGCAAACAGG
Molecule: ribosomal RNA, 253 nt
Filed under: uncultured bacterium
Lineage: Bacteria
Description: partial 16S ribosomal RNA
Rfam family: Bacterial small subunit ribosomal RNA
Source: RNAcentral